This 207-nucleotide small nuclear RNA is filed under the name Helianthus annuus (common sunflower). RNAcentral describes it as "sRNA HanXRQr2_Chr03g0108021". It matches the Rfam family "U2 spliceosomal RNA". Rfam says of the family: U2 is a small nuclear RNA (snRNA) component of the spliceosome (involved in pre-mRNA splicing). The record is from Rfam by way of RNAcentral. Lineage: Eukaryota; Viridiplantae; Streptophyta; Magnoliopsida; Asterales; Asteraceae.
AUACCUUUCUCGGCCUUUUGGCUAAGAUCAAGUGUAGUAUCUGUUCUUAUCAGUUUAAUAUCUAGUUUAAUAUCUGAUACAUGGGCCAUCGGCCCACUCGAUAUUAAUCUUAUUUUUAUGGGGAAAGACCCAUCACAAUAGCUUGUUAUUGGCGUCUUUGAGUGUCGCCUUGGCGUUGCACUACUGCCUUGGCCUGGCGCACCCCUC